UCUUCCGUAGUAUAGUGGUCAGUAUAUGAGCUUGUCAUCCUUCCGGAUCACGCUCGGGACCCGGGUUCAAUUCCCGGCGGGAGAG
RNAcentral lists this transfer RNA (85 nucleotides) under Lasiosphaeris hirsuta. It matches the Rfam family "tRNA". From Rfam's summary of the family: Transfer RNA (tRNA) molecules are approximately 80 nucleotides in length. Their secondary structure includes four short double-helical elements and three loops (D, anti-codon, and T loops). Lineage: Eukaryota; Fungi; Ascomycota; Sordariomycetes; Sordariales; Lasiosphaeriaceae. RNAcentral also lists the same sequence under 1 other name. The record is from Rfam by way of RNAcentral.